AGAGUUUGAUCCUGGCUCAGAACGAACGCUGGCGGCAUGCCUAACACAUGCAAGUCGAACGAAGCCUUCGGGCUUAGUGGCGCACGGGUGCGUAACGCGUGGGAAUCUGCCCUUGGGUUCGGAAUAACAGUGAGAAAUUACUGCUAAUACCGGAUGAUGUCUUCGGACCAAAGAUUUAUCGCCCAAGGAUGAGCCCGCGUUAGAUUAGCUAGUUGGUGGGGUAAUGGCCUACCAAGGCGACGAUCUAUAGCUGGUCUGAGAGGAUGAUCAGCCACACUGGGACUGAGACACGGCCCAGACUCCUACGGGAGGCAGCAGUGGGGAAUAUUGGACAGUGGGCGAAAGCCUGAUCCAGCAAUGCCGCGUGAGUGAUGAAGGCCUUAGGGUUGUAAAGCUCUUUUACCAGGGAUGAUAAUGACAGUACCUGGAGAAUAAGCUCCGGCUAACUCCGUGCCAGCAGCCGCGGUAAUACGGAGGGAGCUAGCGUUGUUCGGAAUUACUGGGCGUAAAGCGCGCGUAGGCGGUUUUUCAAGUCAGAGGUGAAAGCCCGGGGCUCAACCCCGGAACUGCCUUUGAAACUGGAUGACUAGAAUCUUGGAGAGGCGAGUGGAAUUCCGAGUGUAGAGGUGAAAUUCGUAGAUAUUCGGAAGAACACCAGUGGCGAAGGCGACUCGCUGGACAAGUAUUGACGCUGAGGUGCGAAAGUGUGGGGAGCAAACAGGAUUAGAUACCCUGGUAGUCCACACCGUAAACGAUGAUAACUAGCUGUCCGGGCUCCUGGAGUUUGGUGGCGCAGCUAACGCAUUAAGUUAUCCGCCUGGGGAGUACGGUCGCAAGAUUAAAACUCAAAGGAAUU
This 856-nucleotide ribosomal RNA is filed under the name uncultured Altererythrobacter sp. Its description in RNAcentral is "bacterial SSU rRNA". It matches the Rfam family "Bacterial small subunit ribosomal RNA", at positions 8 to 911 of the family's 1533-position model. The record is from RNAcentral. Lineage: Bacteria; Pseudomonadati; Pseudomonadota; Alphaproteobacteria; Sphingomonadales; Erythrobacteraceae.